AAAGAAAUCAACCGAGAUUCCCCCAGUAGCGGCGAGCGAACGGGGAGGAGCCCAGAGCCUGAAUCAGCAUGUGUGUUAGUGGAAGCGUCUGGAAAGGCGCGCGAUACAGGGUGACAGCCCCGUACACAAAAGCGCAUGUGCUGUGAGCUCGAUGAGUAGGGCGGGACACGUGGUAUCCUGUCUGAAUAUGGGGGGACCAUCCUCCAAGGCUAAAUACUCCUGACUGACCGAUAGUGAACCAGUACCGUGAGGGAAAGGCGAAAAGAACCCCGGCGAGGGGAGUGAAAAAGAACCUGAAACCGUGUACGUACAAGCAGUGGGAGCACAGGUUUACCUGUGUGACUGCGUACCUUUUGUAUAAUGGGUCAGCGACUUAUAUUCUGUAGCAAGGUUAACCGUAUAGGGGAGCCGGAGGGAAACCGAGUCUUAACCGGGCGUUAAGUUGCAGGGUAUAGACCCGAAACCCGGUGAUCUAGCCAUGGGCAGGUUGAAGGUUGGGUAACACUAACUGGAGGACCGAACCGACUAAUGUUGAAAAAUUAGCGGAUGACCUGUGGCUGGGGGUGAAAGGCCAAUCAAACCGGGAGAUAGCUGGUUCUCCCCGAAAGCUAUUUAGGUAGCGCCUCGUGAAUUCAUCUCCGGGGGUAGAGCACUGUUUCGGCUAGGGGGCCAUCCCGGCUUACCAACCCGAUGCAAACUGCGAAUACCGGAGAAUGUUAUCACGGGAGACACACGGCGGGUGCUAACGUCCGUCGUGAAGAGGGAAACAACCCAGACCGCCAGCUAAGGUCCCAAAGUCAUGGUUAAGUGGGAAACGAUGUGGGAAGGCCCAGACAGCCAGGAUGUUGGCUUAGAAGCAGCCAUCAUUUAAAGAAAGCGUAAUAGCUCACUGGUCGAGUCGGCCUGCGCGGAAGAUGUAACGGGGCUAAACCAUGCACCGAAGCUGCGGCAGCGAACGUAUCACCCAAGACAACUUUACGGAGUUGACGAUUGACGGAGCGAAGCGACGUCAAAGCGUUCAUUAAAGUCGAGUUGGCUUAGGGAUACGUUCGUUGGGUAGGGGAGCGUUCUGUAAGCCUGUGAAGGUGGCCUGUGAGGGUUGCUGGAGGUAUCAGAAGUGCGAAUGCUGACAUAAGUAACGAUAAAGCGGGUGAAAAGCCCGCUCGCCGGAAGACCAAGGGUUCCUGUCCAACGUUAAUCGGGGCAGGGUGAGUCGACCCCUAAGGCGAGGCCGAAAGGCGUAGUCGAUGGGAAACGGGUUAAUAUUCCCGUACUUGGUGUUACUGCGAAGGGGGGACGGAGAAGGCUAUGUUGGCCGGGCGACGGUU
This 1328-nucleotide ribosomal RNA is filed under the name Salmonella enterica. RNAcentral describes it as "partial 23S ribosomal RNA". It matches the Rfam family "Bacterial large subunit ribosomal RNA", at positions 218 to 1503 of the family's 2925-position model. Lineage: Bacteria; Pseudomonadati; Pseudomonadota; Gammaproteobacteria; Enterobacterales; Enterobacteriaceae. The record is from RNAcentral.